Molecule: transfer RNA, 72 nt
Filed under: Pavlovales sp. CCMP2436
Lineage: Eukaryota; Haptophyta; Pavlovophyceae; Pavlovales
Description: tRNA-Glu
Rfam family: tRNA
About the family: Transfer RNA (tRNA) molecules are approximately 80 nucleotides in length.
Source: RNAcentral
UUCCCGAUAGUCUAUCGGUCAGGAUACAGGAUUCUCACUCCUGAGAGCGGGGUUCGAUUCCCCGUCGGGAAA